RNAcentral lists this ribosomal RNA (404 nucleotides) under Myzocytiopsis sp. RNAcentral's name for it is "partial small subunit ribosomal RNA". It matches the Rfam family "Eukaryotic small subunit ribosomal RNA", at positions 587 to 975 of the family's 1831-position model. The record is from RNAcentral. Lineage: Eukaryota; Oomycota; Myzocytiopsidales; Myzocytiopsidaceae.
AGCUCCAAUAGCGUAUAUUAAAGUUGUUGCAGUUAAAAAGCUCGUAGUUGGAUUUCUGGUUGAAACGACCGGUCCGCUUGUGACUUGUUUACGAGUGCGUACUUGUGUUGUUUUGUCCAUUUUUUGUGAGGAUGUCUUUCUGCCAUUAAGUUGGUGGGUUGAUGGACUUGCAUCGUUUACUGUGAAAAAAUUAGAGUGUUUAAAGCAGGCGUUUGCCUAUUUUUGAAUACAUUAGCAUGGAAUAAUAAGAUACGACCUUGGUGGUCUAUUUUGUUGGUUUGCACACCAGGGUAAUGAUUAAUAGGGACAGUUGGGGGUAUUCAUAUUUCAGCGUCAGAGGUGAAAUUCUUGGAUCGCUGAAAGAUGAGCUUAGGCGAAAGCAUUUACCAAGGAUGUUUUCAUUA